GAGCGUCAUUGCACCUCUCAAGCGUAGCUUGGUAUUGGGGUCUCGCCCCCGCGGCGUCCCCGAAAAGCAGUGGCGGUCCGGUGUGACUUUAAGCGUAGUAAAUUUCUCCCGCUUUGAAAGUUCGCCCCGUGGCCUGCCAGACAACCCUAUAUACUCCAAUAAUUGACCUCGGAUCAGGUAGGGAUACCCGCUGAACUUAA
This 200-nucleotide unclassified non-coding RNA is filed under the name soil metagenome. RNAcentral's name for it is "partial contains internal transcribed spacer 2 and large subunit ribosomal RNA". The record is from RNAcentral.